CAUCCUCUGGAGUGCUCGAUACAAGGCAUUGAAGCGUUGACCAACACAGGUGACACCCGUCCUUGGUCAAAGCCAUGGUGAGCCAGCCCGUCUCUGAGCGGGACGCCUGAAAUGGCUUUCAAAGGCAGGAACUAAAGUUCUUACGGUCAAGACUUCAAGAUCGCGGUCGGCACUUCGGAGACAAA
Molecule: non-coding RNA, 185 nt
Filed under: Desulfuromonas soudanensis
Lineage: Bacteria; Pseudomonadati; Thermodesulfobacteriota; Desulfuromonadia; Desulfuromonadales; Desulfuromonadaceae
Description: 6S / SsrS RNA
Rfam family: 6S / SsrS RNA
About the family: E. coli 6S RNA was the first non coding RNA to be sequenced, but its function was unknown until recently.
Source: Rfam by way of RNAcentral